GCAUGCAUGAAGCCACAGUGGAGAGGAAAACUCCCCUUUAACAGGGAGGAGAACCUCCAGCAGGUUGCAUCAAGUCUGUCCAAGCAGCAGUCUGGGAACAAAUGACACACUUUUCUUUUCUUUCACCUGUUCGCUGCGCUUCUUCCAGCAGUCCUCUCUCUCUCUCUCUUUCUCUCCGUCUUCUACUUCCCCCCCCCCCCCCCCCCCCCCCCCGCCACAGGCAGCAGCAGCCCUGACUGACAGCUCAUUGGCUAAUUUACCAUACCAACUUUAUUUAUGAAGCACUUUAUACACCGACAGGACACAGUCAUAAAAUACAAUGUGACUAUAAAAUAGAAAAGAUGGAAUAUAAAAUACACAUUAGAAACAGACACAAUGAAACAAAGUGAAACAGCUCAGGUUGUGCCAAAGAAAAAAGAAGAGACUUAAAAACAACGAGUGAGGCACCUGCAGCCAGGUGUUACCGUAUUAACAGGAGAAGCGGCGCACGUGAAAUUAAACACUGUCCUCAGACAACAUGCAGUCAUUUAUAAAUGAUUUAAAACAGCCUGGGUAUGCUAAUCUGUGACCUUUUCCCCGAGCUCACCUGAGCUCAGGUAAACUCAGGUGAGCUCAGGUAAACUCAGGUGAGCAUAGGUAAACUCAGGUGAGCUCAGGUAUAUUCAGGUAAACUCAGGUGAGCUCAGGUAAACUCAGGUGAGCUCAGGUAAACUCAGGUGAGCUCAGGUAAGCUCAGGUAAACUCAGGUGAGCUCAGGUAAACUCAGGUGAGCUCAGGUAAACUCAGGUGAGCUCAGGUAAAUUCAGGUAAACUCAGGUGAGCUCAGGUAAACUCAGCUGAGCUCAGGUAAACUCAGGUGAGCUCAGGUAAACUCAGGUGAGCUCAGGUAAACUCAGCUGAGCUCAGGUAAACUCAGGUGAGCUCAGGUAAAUUCAGGUAAACUCAGGUGAGCUCAGGUAAACUCAGCUGAGCUCAGGUAAACUCAGGUGAGCUCAGGUAAACUCAGGUGAGCUCAGGUGAGCUCAGGUAAACUCAGGUGAGCUCAGGUAAACUCAGGUGAGCUCAGGUAAACUCAGGUGAGCUCAGGUAAACUCAGGUAAACUCAGGUGAGCGCCGUAACUAACAGGUUCUCCUCGUU
Fundulus heteroclitus (mummichog) is the source of this 1138-nucleotide long non-coding RNA. RefSeq lists it as uncharacterized. The transcript is spliced from 4 exons. Lineage: Eukaryota; Metazoa; Chordata; Actinopteri; Cyprinodontiformes; Fundulidae. The record is from RefSeq and is a predicted model, not a curated record.